This 460-nucleotide ribosomal RNA is filed under the name uncultured bacterium. RNAcentral describes it as "partial 16S ribosomal RNA". It matches the Rfam family "Bacterial small subunit ribosomal RNA", at positions 338 to 795 of the family's 1533-position model. The record is from RNAcentral.
CCUACGGGAGGCUGCAGUGAGGAAUAUUGGUCAAUGGACGAGAGUCUGAACCAGCCAAGUAGCGUGUAGGAUGACUGCCCUAUGGGUUGUAAACUUCUUUUAUAUGGGAAUAAAAUGUUCCACGUGUGGGAUUUUGUAUGUACCAUAUGAAUAAGGAUCGGCUAACUCCGUGCCAGCAGCCGCGGUAAUACGGAGGAUCCGAGCGUUAUCCGGAUUUAUUGGGUUUAAAGGGAGCGUAGGUGGAUUGUUAAGUCAGUUGUGAAAGUUUGCGGCUCAACCGUAAAAUUGCAGUUGAAACUGGGAGUCUUGAGUACAGUAGAGGUGGGCGGAAUUCGUGGUGUAGCGGUGAAAUGCUUAGAUAUCACGAAGAACUCCGAUUGCGAAGGCAGCUCACUGGACUGCAACUGACACUGAGGCUCGAAAGUGUGGGUAUCAAACAGGAUUAGAUACCCGAGUAGUC